Cercocebus atys (sooty mangabey) is the source of this 619-nucleotide long non-coding RNA. RefSeq lists it as uncharacterized. The transcript is spliced from 3 exons. The record is from RefSeq and is a predicted model, not a curated record. Lineage: Eukaryota; Metazoa; Chordata; Mammalia; Primates; Cercopithecidae.
GGCCUGGAGGGGUGGGUUCGCCCAUGAACCCGCCCCUUCCGGUUGGCCCCGCCUUUCUACUCCUCUUCCACCUCUAUGUCUCGGUUCACCUAGAGCGCCGACAGACACUGAAAGAGAACUACACCCACACCGUUUCCGGCAGGCCGAAACGGAUUUAUCUUCUGACCAAAUUAGGAAGAUAAAGAUUUAGCACCCUCACUCCAGACUCCCACUUUUCCUACUUGCAUCCUCCAUGCAUGCAAUAUAUGCUGGAGUGCAGGAAACCGAAUUGAAGGAGAGAGGAAUCGGCAUUUUCGGAAUGCAGCAGAGAUUUCAUGAAAAUUGGUCAUUGGGUUUGGCAAUAGGAAGGCCAUGUAAAGAGGAGUUUCAGGGGAGUAGAGCUGGAAACCAGAGUGCACCAUGGGUUAAAAUGUGAGUAGGAAGUUGAGGAGUUAAUGAGAAGUGAAGUCAGUGACUAUAUACAGCUUGCUUUCAGGAAUGUGAGGUAAAGAAGGUGAAGAUAUUAUGUGGCAUGUCUUCCCACUUCAGAUGAUUCUAAGCACCUUGAGACAAAUAUUUAGUAAUGUACCAUAUGUGCAACCUUAAUUCAGUAAAUAUUGACAGGAAUGAUUCUAAUAAA